AAUAUCUCGUCAUGGACUGUGCCCCGCUCGAGCCUCUCCACAGGCAGCCGGAAGGAAAGUGGAGGGAGCUGCUCCUUUCCGUAGCCGGGGUGCCCACCCCAACCAGGCUGCCUCUGCCACCCAAGACAGAGGUUCUCUGAUAAUAAUUUGUGGGGCUUGUUUCCAGAGACCACACCUGAAGCUGCCAACUCCCCGGAGGGAAGGUCCUGAUUAAUGGCCGAUGAAUUUCUCCUUAAGGCCCUGAAACUGCCUACUCAGAACCAAGCCAGUUUUUCCUGCCUGUCCUGUUUGGGCAGGCAGAGGAGGCAGCUAGAAACCCAUUAUGCAGGGGAUGGGGACCAAACCAAUGCACAACUCCUACGUACUGAUGGUGGUCUUACGUUUCCCUAAGUUUCUGCCGACUAAACUGUGCACACGUUCUCAGGACCUCCUGAAGCUGCGUCACAGGCGCUGAUCAAAGAACACAACCAAGAGUUUGGCCUUUUCUUCAGCACUGGGAAUUGUGAUCCAAAGCUUUUCCUGAUGAGGCACAAAGUUGGAGAAACAAAACGCAAACUAAGCAACAAUGAAACAGAACAGAGUGAAUCUGCUGUAGCUCAAGAGAGGACGUAGCUGCCCCCACCCCGCAUCCCCGGGCUCGGGUUUGCCUUGCUGACCUCUGCUGCCACCUGGUGCCGCACAGAGAAACUGAGGAGAAACCACAUCAGUCUCCUUCAGCCUCAGCUUCACAUCUGUGGGUCAAGCAACCCUUUCAGAAGCUGAAUAAUGUGGGAAAGCUUUCCUCUCAGGAAAAUGCACACAUCCAACUUUGAGAAGAUGCCCUUGGGGGCGCUUCAAGGAUC
This 842-nucleotide long non-coding RNA is filed under the name Homo sapiens (human). RNAcentral describes it as "non-protein coding LINC00115:22". Lineage: Eukaryota; Metazoa; Chordata; Mammalia; Primates; Hominidae. The record is from RNAcentral.